Molecule: long non-coding RNA, 755 nt
Organism: Leptopilina heterotoma
Lineage: Eukaryota; Metazoa; Arthropoda; Insecta; Hymenoptera; Figitidae
Exons: 3
Source: RefSeq, a predicted model, not a curated record
UAUCUACUAUAUAGUGGGGAUACUACUAUACUAUACUAUACUACUGUAUAGUGGGGGAUGCGCGUCAUUUAGAACAUGCGCAUUUCCUCCAACAUGGACUAACAGCGGAGAACAAGUCCGCUGGACUGUAACUACAGAUUAGAUUUAAGUUGACUAUUGACUAGAAAGGUUGCUUCUAAGCUUCCUUAGUCAUAACUUGUAUUCUUGAACUUUUAGAUUUAACCAAAUUCUGAACUCAACGAAUCACCGAGCAGUAAUCGCGUUUGCGCGAGUAAUUUACAUUUGUGCUCGUAACAGUUUGUGUAUUUGUGAAAUUGACAUAGGCGUAGAUUCGUAAAUAUUUGGACUUUGGAGAAUGCAGAGAAUAAUAUGUGUUGAGUGUUAAUUAAAAAAGUAAUUAAUUAAUAAUUAAUUAAUUAGAAUUAAUUAAUUAAUUAAUUAGACGUGACAAAGUUAUUGCCUGUGUUAGUUAAUUAUAUGGAUAAGUGUCAAAAGUUCUCUAAUGAAAAAAAUGAGAAUAAUAAUGGAUACCAAUUUUGAGCUUUCUGCAAGUGGACAGAGACACCAAAAGAUGUCGAAUCAACCUCAAGGCAACCAGAGACGAGGAAACAAUUGAAAUUGACUUUAAAUUGCUUCAAGACUUGCUAUCAUUAAAAGAAUUGUCAAUUAAUUAAUUAAUUAAUUAAUUUGCAGGAUAUAAAAUUUAAAAAAAAUGUAUAUUAUAUUUUUAUAUAAUAAUAUAUAAUACACUGUAA